AGUGAACGCUGGCGGUAGGCCUAACACAUGCAAGUCGAACGGCAGCACAGUAAGAGCUUGCUCUUACGGGUGGCGAGUGGCGGACGGGUGAGGAAUACAUCGGAAUCUACUUUUUCGUGGGGGAUAACGUAGGGAAACUUACGCUAAUACCGCAUACGACCUACGGGUGAAGGCAGGGGAUCUUCGGACCUUGCGCGAUUGAAUGAGCCGAUGUCGGAUUAGCUAGUUGGCGGGGUAAAGGCACACCAAGGCGACGAUCCGUAGCUGGUCUGAGAGGAUGAUCAGCCACACUGGAACUGAGACACGGUCCAGACUCCUACGGGAGGCAGCAGUGGGGAAUAUUGGACAAUGGGCGCAAGCCUGAUCCAGCCAUACCGCGUGGGUGAAGAAGGCCUUCGGGUUGUAAAGCCCUUUUGUUGGGAAAGAAAAGCAGCAGGUUAAUACCCCGCUGUUCUGACGGUACCCAAAGAAUAAGCACCGGCUAACUUCGUG
RNAcentral lists this ribosomal RNA (492 nucleotides) under uncultured bacterium. RNAcentral's name for it is "partial 16S ribosomal RNA". It matches the Rfam family "Bacterial small subunit ribosomal RNA", at positions 29 to 507 of the family's 1533-position model. The record is from RNAcentral.